Non-coding RNA from Orycteropus afer afer, 71 nucleotides. The record is from the annotation of a RefSeq genome assembly. NCBI's taxonomy places the organism in Eukaryota, Metazoa, Chordata, Mammalia, Tubulidentata, Orycteropodidae.
GCAGUGGUGGUUCAGUGGUAGAUUUCUUGCCUUCCACGCAGGAGACCUGGGUUCAAUUCUCGGCCAGUGCA